Ceratitis capitata (Mediterranean fruit fly) is the source of this 402-nucleotide long non-coding RNA. RefSeq lists it as uncharacterized. The transcript is spliced from 2 exons. The record is from RefSeq and is a predicted model, not a curated record. NCBI's taxonomy places the organism in Eukaryota, Metazoa, Arthropoda, Insecta, Diptera, Tephritidae.
UUUAUUUCGCAAAGAAAAUUAGUCUCACUUACCUCAGCGUGACUCUGACGACGCACCGAACCGUAGCGUUUCAUCAUGCCGGAACUAGAGAGGUCAUGUCGUGAGGCAGUAUAUUCAGGAUAUCUGGCCGAUACAUAGUGCCGCUGCCCCAAUUCUCAUGCGGCGGUGUUAUUUGAUCCAAAUGUGGCUGACUGCGAUGACGUACCAUGUCUGUGCUGCUCGUGCUUUGUGCGAUAGUCGGGUAAGGAGUCUUACCAUUUACGCCGUUACUUACGCCCUGAUUGUUCUACAUCCACAAGGAAAGAGUAAGAGAGAGUGAGAGAGAGAGAGAGAGAAAAUGUUACUUUUAACACGUAUAAAUAAAGAAAUCGUACAAAGAGUGGACAUUGAGAGAACAUUAAA